GCAGGGAGAAGACAAAGCACCACUCGCAGGAACCUGAGGAAGAUGCUGGCAUGUUUGGCUCAUUUAAGCUGGAUAAGACCCAAGUCUCGGAGGCAGCUCUGCAGAUCUGACACUUGGAACGAUAUUCUGGUUUUCACCGGAAAAGUGCCUGGAUCCCGGGACCAGAGGCAGACCCAGCGGGCCCAGAUGAGACCCAGAAGUCUGGGAAGGCACAGGCACCCCUCGCUCCACUCUGGAGACCCCAACUUGUCCAGCUGAGCAGAGAGCAAGAGGAAUAGAGGUGACCUGCCCAGGGUAGCAGGACAGAAUGGGAACCAGGAAGUCCCACAGGACCUGAGUGAGGGAGUGGAGAGCAGAAUGGGGCUGAAAAGUGCGGGACCCAUUGCGAUUCAGCCUCCUCCAAUCUCAGCGAGAGGAAAUUCUCCAGCCUGGGUUAUGCAAACAUCUAGCAAGUUCGCCUUCAAGGGUUUAAUUUGCUUCCCCACUCCUCCACUUUCAGAAGGUGACAAGUGCCAUUCACAAGUCAGUGAGAGCGGGCUGGGCCUGAGCUUCUGGAAGGACCAACACUGUAAAGGACAGUUUGUCCCAAAGCACGUGGGUCACCGCUUUGUCCCGGGAAAUUCACAGCAAGUACCGAGUGGUAUGGCUGAGCCAACUUCUGCCAGCAGGCACAGGGCUGUGUGCAGCUCAGGGGCCUCGGGGGACUCAAGCGUGGCCUCUCCUUUUUUUCUCGCGACAGACUAGCAUUAACCCAGGCAUGGGAGUGAGUGAGCUCUGGAGACAGAUUCUGUUGUGCAAUCAGACAAGUAAUAGCUCCCCAUGAGAGCCUCCACCCACAAUCCCUCCAACUAGCUCACUCUUCCCAGUAUCUGUUGCUAUGUAACAAACCACCCCAAACUUAGUGGCAUAAAACAACAGCAAUGAUUUUAUUAUGUCACGGUUCUGGCAUCAACGAGGCUCGGCUAGGUGGUCUCAGGCAGGGUCCGAGUUGCAACUGAGGUCUCAGUUGCAGCCACAUGGUCCCUGGGGCUGGGGUCAUCUUGCUGUUUGCUCACUCACACAUCUUGCAACUCACACAAUAGAUGCUGGUUAUCAGCUGGGACCUCAACUGGGACUGUGGCCUCCUCGGGCAGCUUGGGCUUCCUCACAACAUGUCGGCCUCACAACAUGUAGGAAAAAGUAUCUCAGGAGGGCCAGGAAGAAGCUGUGUCACCUUCUGUAACUUAGCCUCAGAAGUCACAUAGUGUCACUUCCAUCGUAGCCACAGCCCUGGCCAAGAGGAGGGACAUGGACCCCGCCUCUCAACUGCAGGAGUGACAACUUCAUAUUGCAAAGAUAGCUUGGGAAAUGGAAGAACCUGUGGCCACCUUGUAAAAUACACUGCCACUCCCACCAUUUCCUGCUCUAAUUCCAGUCCAGAUUCUUCCCGGCUUCUGACUCUGUGGACUUUCAUCAGGCACCUAGUGGACGCUCGCUGCUUUCAUUAACAUCCACACAUUAACUCUCCACAGCUCCACUUUGCGGUCGGCCUGCAAUAUUCCCAUCUCACAACCAUGGGCUCUGAGGAUCAGAAAGUCUAAGGCACCUGCCCAAGUUCCCACAGCUGUUCAGCAGUUUUAGGGAAUAUCGGUAGCUUUGGAUGCCUCUUCUGGUCACUGUCCUUGCAUUUCCUCGAAGAUGACCCCUCCCUCACCUCAGACCAUGUGGUUUGGGGCUAGUCUGACUCCACCCAUUGGUCCAUAGAUGGGCAUGUGACUAAAGCCUGGCCAAUCAGAAUUUUCCAAACCUGUAGCCUCAGUGAUUGGUUCAGGGACCAUCAGGUGACCCAGUUUGGUCCACUCAGAGAUAAUCCUAGAACAGUUGGGAAGAGAGAAUUUUGGGGGUGACUAACCACCAUGAAUGCUCAGCUGAGCCUGCUGGGAUGCCUUUUCCAUGUUGAGGGCGAGGCCUACAUGAGAAUAAAACCAACAUAGACAAAAAUGACCACGAGACAGAAAGAGAUAGCAUCCUGAGGUCGGUGCUUGAGCCCCUGGAUCCAGCCAUACCUGAAGUUGGCCCUACCCUUGGACUUUGUCAUUAUAAAAGCCAAUAUCUUUUCUUUUUAACUGAGGCCAUUUUGAGUUGAGGUUUCUAGGCUAAGCAAAAGACUCUUGGCCUAUAAUGAGGCAGAAAAAGAAUUUGAGUCCAAGCCUAUCUAAGUCCAAAUUCCAAAUUCUUUCCCCAGAACCAUGCCACCUCCCUGAGUCCCAUCCACCUUCCAUGUCCAGAUCAAUCCUUCCUUUUCUGUGAUACCUUCCCUACAAACAUCAGCUCAGAGCAUCUCUCCUCAACUCUAAUUGUUGGAGUUUGUGGCCUUUGGUCUAAGUGCUUUACAGGGAGGGCCCCCCUGAUCCACACUAUACCCUCUUCUGUAAUCACGGGUGCUUGAAGUUUCACCAUCAGAGCAGAAUUCCUUUGGAUUAAGCAUUGCCCUCCUCAAGUGAUUGUUUUAAAAUCCUGAUCCCCUGAGAGUGGAACUCGACUCACUAUGGCCCAAGGAAAAAUGGAUACGGGUGUUCAGGUUGGAGAUACAGGGCAGUGAAACCAUGAAGGCGGGUGUGUUUGAUUCUGACCAGAAAGGAGGACGUGGCAUUUAAGCUGCAUCUUAAAAAAAAAAAAAAAAAAAAAAAAGACAGGAUUUGACAGUCAGGGAUGUGGGAAAGGGCAUCGGAGGUGGAAAGAGCAGACUAAGAUGUGAGAAUUUGUGGGGUACAUUCAGGAAACAGCGUAAAAUUAGCUGCUGUGGAUGGUGUGUGAUAUAGGACAGAAGGCUGCUCAGAUAAUCCUGGGAACAUGAAACACCAGGCUGAGGAAGUUGAUCCUUAUUUUCCUGGCAAUAGGGAGCCACUGAAGGUGCUCGAGCAGUGGGGAGAGCCUCAAUCAGAGCAGCACUUUAGGAAGGUUAAUUUGUGCCCGGGGGUGAGGGAGGGAGUGGCUUGAAGAGGCCAGAGGCAGGGCCAAGGGAAGCCGAGAGAGAAAUGAGUUCAUCUGAAUAAGAGUCAGACAAUGGAUGGGUUAGGAGUGAUGGGGGACAUUCCUGGGGACAACUGCCUUGAUAUAGACACAGACUGGGUGCCAGCACAGGGGUGGAGCAUUAGAGCAGCCUGUGUUUUGGCCCCUUUGCCACGCGACGUCCAGGCUCAGCAUCUUCCUCCUUGAAGAAUGGCAUCCAGGGAAUUCUCUGGUGGUCCAGUGGUUAGGACUCGGUGCUUUCACUGCCGUGGUCCUGGGUUCGAUCCCCGGUCAGGGAAUUAAGAUCCCACGGCCAAAAAGAAAAAAAGAAAAGAAUGGCCUCCAUCCCCAGCCCUCCACAUAUAGAUCCAUGAUGUGCAGACCAGGAUGGCGUUACUUUGCAUUGCUGAGCAGCUUUCCACUGUGUGGACGUACCACAACUCACUCACCUAUUCACUGCUGGUGGACAUUUGGGUAGUUCCCAGUAAGCCCCUUUUUAAGUGUCAAUAGAUGUCACCUCGCUCAAAGCAAUAAAAUCUGAGAAAGCGCUGAUGGGAUGGGCCAGCUAUCUUUUAUCUAGUACACCUUAAAACAAAUGCAUAAGUAUCACAAAUCACACAUGUUUGUCCAGGACCAUCUUUCUCCUGCUCGGGGCUCGCUCUGGCAGAGGCUGUGGGAAUUGCUGUUGCAGUGGUUGUGUUGUUGCAUGAGGAUGCUGCCGCGGGACCGGAGAUGGGCAUGGACGCCAAGCCUCUUCUCAUCCUUGGACGAGAGGCCUUCUGGAAGCCGCUCUGGCUGGGCCCCUGCCCCCCACCUCCAGUCUCAGCUGGAUGGAGACAUUGAGCCCAAUUCAUGCUGCCUUCAAAGGGCUCCUGUCUGAACCAGGCUCUUGGGCUAACCUCGGCCAAAUCCUCGCCUAGGGAAACACACUGGGCCCUUGUUCAGACGGAGGCCCGCCUGCAGGAGGUCAGCCCAGCUGCGAGGGCAGAAUCCCCAUCUCAGCCGUGGAGUGUGGCACGGGGGCUUCCUGGGCUCGCUGCCCGCCAGCCCCAGGCCCGCCACCCUAGACGAGACAGAGGCUGCCUGGGAAGGCGGAAGCCUCACCUGGGGGUUCCCACACGUGUCCGCUGCUGAGUCGGGAAGGGCCAGUCCCUCGGCCUGGGGUGUGGAUUGCGCUCCCCUCUACCGCUCAGAAACUAAACGCAAUCCAUUUUCCUUUCUUCCUCCUGGGAUCUGAA
Long non-coding RNA from Delphinapterus leucas (beluga whale), 4229 nucleotides. RefSeq lists it as uncharacterized. Lineage: Eukaryota; Metazoa; Chordata; Mammalia; Artiodactyla; Monodontidae. The record is from RefSeq and is a predicted model, not a curated record.